AGAGUUUGAUCCUGGCUCAGAUUGAACGCUGGCGGCAUGCCUUACACAUGCAAGUCGAACGGCAGCGCGGGGCAACCUGGCGGCGAGUGGCGAACGGGUGAGUAAUAUAUCGGAACGUACCCUGGAGUGGGGGAUAACGUAGCGAAAGUUACGCUAAUACCGCAUACGAUCUAAGGAUGAAAGUGGGGGAUCGCAAGACCUCAUGCUCCUGGAGCGGCCGAUAUCUGAUUAGCUAGUUGGCGGGGUAAAAGCCCACCAAGGCAACGAUCAGUAGCUGGUCUGAGAGGACGACCAGCCACACUGGAACUGAGACACGGUCCAGACUCCUACGGGAGGCAGCAGUGGGGAAUUUUGGACAAUGGGCGCAAGCC
Molecule: ribosomal RNA, 371 nt
Filed under: uncultured bacterium
Lineage: Bacteria
Description: bacterial SSU rRNA
Rfam family: Bacterial small subunit ribosomal RNA
Source: RNAcentral